Long non-coding RNA from Malania oleifera, 616 nucleotides. RefSeq lists it as uncharacterized. NCBI's taxonomy places the organism in Eukaryota, Viridiplantae, Streptophyta, Magnoliopsida, Santalales, Ximeniaceae. The record is from RefSeq and is a predicted model, not a curated record. The transcript is spliced from 2 exons.
GGAAAAAAAAGAUGGGGCAUGCUGAAAGGUGUGACACCUGGCAGCCUUACAAACCAGCAGCAGCCACCUGGCAGCUUCACAAACCAGCAGUUGACACCUAGUACACAGAUGGCAGCACUGCAAGACCUUUGUCAUUACCAGCUCCCGCAGUCCUGCCACGUUUUCAGCCUAGAAGGAGACACUUGGCAGACAGCUGGCGGCAAGUAGCUGCUGUCUUGUCCAUUCCAGAGCUGCAGGGCAGACACAACACAGAAAAUACCACAAACUCUUGCUGUAAACCCUGGUUCUAGAGAGCGAUAGAGAGAGAAAACUCUGCAAGAAAUCAGGGAAAUUCAGGGAAAAUCAGGAAAAAAAGUACUGGAAACUCAGAUGGAAACUUAAACUAAGUUCGAAGAAACUGAAAAUCAAGGUUCAAACUGAAGGAGAGCCCCACUUUUUAAGUUCUCCAAGAGACUGCCAUUUUUACAUGUAAACAGAUUGGUAGAAAGAUAUUACAGAUGCUAAACAUGUAUUUUGUUGCCGAAUGUGUUUAUUCUUGGGAGUUUGAAAAAUGUUGUAUAUAAAGUGCACCUCAAUGUAAAGAGCUUGUCAAUGAAGUAAAUUUUUUUUCUUGCUU